UACGUAGGGAGCAAGCGUUGUCCGGAAUCAUUGGGCGUAAAGCGCGCGUAGGCGGCCUCAUAAGUCCGUUGUGAAAGUCAAAGGCUCAACCUUUGAAAGCCGAUGGAUACUGUGAGGCUAGAGUCCGGAAGAGGCGAGUGGAAUUCCACGUGUAGCAGUGAAAUGCGUAGAUAUGUGGAGGAACACCGAUGGCGAAGGCAGCCCCCUGGGUUAACACUGACGCUCAUGCACGAAAGCGUGGGGAGCAAACAGG
Molecule: ribosomal RNA, 253 nt
Filed under: uncultured bacterium
Lineage: Bacteria
Description: partial 16S ribosomal RNA
Rfam family: Bacterial small subunit ribosomal RNA
Source: RNAcentral